RNAcentral lists this ribosomal RNA (433 nucleotides) under uncultured bacterium. RNAcentral describes it as "partial 16S ribosomal RNA". It matches the Rfam family "Bacterial small subunit ribosomal RNA", at positions 29 to 507 of the family's 1533-position model. The record is from RNAcentral.
AACGAACGCUGGCGGCAUGCCUAACACAUGCAAGUCGAACGAAGCCUUCGUGCUUAGUGGCGCACGGGUGCGGAACGCGUGGGAAUCUGCCCCUUGCUUCGGAAUAACAGUUAUAAAUGACUGCUAAUACCGGAUGAAGUCUUCUGACCAAAGAUUUAUCGUCAGGGGAUGAGCCCGCGUAGGAUUAGGUAGUUGGUGGGGUAAGGGCCUACCAAGCCGACGAUCCUUAGCUGGUCAGAGAGGAUGAGCAGCCACACUGGGACUGAGACACGGCCCAGAAUACUACGGGAGGCAGCAGUGGGGAAUAUUGGACUAUGGACGCAAGUAUGAUCCAGCAAUGCCGCGUGAGUGAUGAAGGCCUUAGGGUUGUAAAGCUCUUUUACCAGGGAUGAUAAUGACAGUACCUGGAGAAUAAGCUCCGGCUAACUCCGUG